GACGAACCGAGCGAACGUUAUUCGGAAUCACUGGGCUUAAAGGGUGCGUAGGCGGGCCCGUCAGUCAGGGGUGAAAUCCCACGGCCCAACCGUGGAAGUGCCUCUGAUACUGCGGGCCUGGAGGGGGAUAGGGGCGUGCGGAACUUCCGGUGGAGCGGUGAAAUGCGUAGAUAUCGGAAGGAACACCGGUGGCGAAAGCGGCGCGCUGGAUCCCUACUGACGCUGAGGAGCGAAAGCGUGGGGAGCGAACAGG
This 253-nucleotide ribosomal RNA is filed under the name uncultured bacterium. RNAcentral's name for it is "partial 16S ribosomal RNA". It matches the Rfam family "Bacterial small subunit ribosomal RNA", at positions 524 to 776 of the family's 1533-position model. The record is from RNAcentral.